UGGGGAGUCGCCAAGUGGUAAGGCAUUGCCCUCUGGAGGCAACAUUCAGGGGUUCGAAUCCCUUCUCCCCAG
This is a non-coding RNA of Candidatus Peregrinibacteria bacterium, 72 nucleotides long. The record is from Rfam. Lineage: Bacteria; Candidatus Peregrinibacteriota.